AUACAUAUCUAUGAGACUAGUCGACUAUUUCAUGGUCGAGUGAUUUAUUUUUUUGUAUAUGUAGAACACUGCACCGGCACCAGAUGGUAAAACUAAGGGAGCACAAGCCUUAUCCAUGAGAAUCUCCGGAAACUUUGCUGCUUUCUACAACUGCAAAUUCUACGGUUUCCAAGAUACAAUCUGUGAUGAUACCGGAAACCAUUUCUUCAAGGAUUGUUACGUCGAAGGAACAUUCGAUUUCAUCUUCGGAAGUGGAACCUCUAUGUACUUGGUACGUAACAUCUCAUACAUAUUUUCUUUAUACAUAAAGUGUGAAAUCUCUAACGCAUGCUUGAAUUCAAAAGGGAACACAAUUGCACGUGGUUGGAGACGGUAUUAGAGUGAUCGCAGCGCAUGCAGGAAAGAGCGCAGAAGAAAAGAGUGGAUACUCUUUCGUGCACUGCAAGGUGACUGGAACUGGAGGAGGAAUCUAUUUGGGAAGAGCAUGGAUGAGCCACCCUAAGGUUGUCUAUGCCUACACCGAGAUGACCAGCGUUGUCAACCCCACCGGAUGGCAAGAAAACAAGACUCCCGCACAUGACAAGUAAGUACACUUUUCACACUACAU
Molecule: small RNA, 607 nt
Filed under: Arabidopsis thaliana (thale cress)
Lineage: Eukaryota; Viridiplantae; Streptophyta; Magnoliopsida; Brassicales; Brassicaceae
Description: ATSL244330
Source: RNAcentral